RNAcentral lists this ribosomal RNA (207 nucleotides) under Salmonella enterica subsp. enterica serovar Enteritidis. Its description in RNAcentral is "partial 16S ribosomal RNA". It matches the Rfam family "Bacterial small subunit ribosomal RNA", at positions 1 to 215 of the family's 1533-position model. Lineage: Bacteria; Pseudomonadati; Pseudomonadota; Gammaproteobacteria; Enterobacterales; Enterobacteriaceae. The record is from RNAcentral.
AAAUUGAAGAGUUUGAUCAUGGCUCAGAUUGAACGCUGGCGGCAGGCCUAACACAUGCAAGUCGAACGGUAACAGGAAGCAGCUUGCUGCUUUGCUGACGAGUGGCGGACGGGUGAGUAAUGUCUGGGAAACUUCCUGAUGGAGGGGGAUAACUACUGGAAACGGUGGCUAAUACCGCAUAACGUCGCAAGACCAAAGAGGGGGACC